RNAcentral lists this ribosomal RNA (465 nucleotides) under uncultured bacterium. RNAcentral describes it as "partial 16S ribosomal RNA". It matches the Rfam family "Bacterial small subunit ribosomal RNA", at positions 28 to 507 of the family's 1533-position model. The record is from RNAcentral.
GACGAACGCUGGCGGCGUGCUUAACACAUGCAAGUCGAACGGAAAGGCCCUGCUUGCAGGGUACUCGAGUGGCGAACGGGUGAGUAACACGUGUGGGAUCUGCCCUGCACUUCGGGAUAUGCCUGGGAAACUGUGUCUAUUACCGGAGAGGAGCCAUUUUUAGUGUGAUGGUUGGAAAGUUUUUUGGGUGUGGGAUGAGCUCGCGGCCUUUCAGCUUGUUGGUGGGGUUAUGGCCUACCAAGGCGGCGACGGGUAGCCGGCCUGGGAGGGUGGACGGCCACAUUGGGACUGAGAUACGGCCAAGACUCCUCCGGGAGGCAGCGGUGGGGAAUGUUGAACAAUGGGCGCAGGCCUGAUGCCGCGAGGCCGCGUGGGGGAGGACGGCCUUCGGGUUGAAACCUCCUUCCGCUAGGGACGAAGCUUUUUGUGACGGUACCUAGAGAAGAAGCACCGGCUAACUACGUG